RNAcentral lists this ribosomal RNA (489 nucleotides) under uncultured bacterium. RNAcentral's name for it is "bacterial SSU rRNA". It matches the Rfam family "Bacterial small subunit ribosomal RNA", at positions 28 to 517 of the family's 1533-position model. The record is from RNAcentral.
GAUGAACGCUGGCGGCGUGCCUAACACAUGCAAGUCGAACGGAGUUUAUAUUAUGAAGUUUUCGGAUGGAAUGAUAUAAACUUAGUGGCGGACGGGUGAGUAACGCGUGGGUAACCUGCCUCAUACAGGGGGAUAACAGUUGGAAACGACUGCUAACACCGCAUAAGCAUACAGUAUCGCAUGAUACAGUGUGAAAAUAUUUAUAGGUAUGAGAUGGGCCCGCGUCUGAUUAGCUAGUUGGUGAGGUAAAGGCUCACCAAGGCGACGAUCAGUAGCCGGCUUGAGAGAGUGACCGGCCACAUUGGGACUGAGACACGGCCCAAACUCCUACGGGAGGCAGCAGUGGGGAAUAUUGCACAAUGGGGGAAACCCUGAUGCAGCGACGCCGCGUGAGUGAAGAAGUAUUUCGGUAUGUAAAGCUCUAUCAGCAGGGAAGAAAAUGACGGUACCUGACUAAGAAGCCCCGGCUAACUACGUGCCAGCAGCCCG